CCUACGGGAGACAGCAGUGAGGAAUAUUGGUCAAUGGGCGCGAGCCUGAACCAGCCAAGUAGCGUGAAGGAUGACUGCCCUACGGGUUGUAAACUUCUUUUAUAAAGGAAUAAAGUGGGGCACGUGUGCCUUUUUGUAUGUACUUUAUGAAUAAGGAUCGGCUAACUCCGUGCCAGCAGCCGCGGUAAUACGGAGGAUCCGAGCGUUAUCCGGAUUUAUUGGGUUUAAAGGGAGCGUAGGUGGGUUGUUAAGUCAGUUGUGAAAGUUUGCGGCUCAACCGUAAAAUUGCAAUUGAAACUGGCAGCCUUGAGUACAGUAGAGGUAGGCGGAAUUCGUGGUGGAGCGGUGAAAUGCUUAGAUAUCACGAAGAACUCCGAUUGCGAAGGCAGCCUACUAGACUGCCACUGACAUUGAGGCUCGAAAGUGUGGGUAUCAAACAGGAUUAGAUACCCCAGUAGUC
Molecule: ribosomal RNA, 460 nt
Filed under: uncultured bacterium
Lineage: Bacteria
Description: partial 16S ribosomal RNA
Rfam family: Bacterial small subunit ribosomal RNA
Source: RNAcentral